UCCAGGUAACUUUCAAAAACCGAGCUCCAGUCCGAGUCCCGCUCCAGUCCCGCUGGAUUUCCACCACCCGCUCCCUGGCCACAACCUCACGCAUGCGUCCAGGAAGAUCCAGGUGUUGUGACUCAAGGUGGCAGAAUUGCGCCCGGUUCGGAGAUGAGAUGCUCGAAGACUCAAGAGAGGCAGGACUAAACCAAAGUGACUUCCGGGUGAUAACUUUACCAUUUUCAGAUUUUGCAGACGGGAUGAGACCAGAGUGGUACGUGCUGAACAUGGAUUGAACAUCUGUGAAUGGCAGGCUUAGCAUACACAGGUGUUGAUGUGAGGAAAAAGGCACCAAGCUGAAGAGGUGAGGUAUGCGCCUUAUGCGCACACCUCAUGGACCACAUGUGCACUCGCCAUGGACCACACCUCAGUUAGAAAGACCCAACUCAGGACUAGAAGGGCAAGCAGCGCUGACCAGGCCUCGUUAGGGAGGAGCGGCCUGUCCCAGCACUGACCCCACAUCCACAGCCCCCGCACCUGUAAUUGAUGUUUCUCCGUGAGUUGAUGUCCCAGCUCUGGAUGGCUGCCCACAUGCGCUCCUCCACCUCCUCCCGCUGGGGUUCACAGAUGCCCCAGGCCUCGGGCCCAUCAAACAUGAUGUGGGAGAGGACGCCGCAGGCGUUGUAGGAAACCUCAAUUCCAUCUGCCUUGCUCUCCAGCAGGUUGCUGCCAAGAAGGAAGAAAAAUGGAGUCCAGAUCCCCAAGGCCCACUUCAGAUACCGGCUGCCGGACUCCAACUCAGAUUAGAUGCCAGAGGGACUACUGAUUUCUUUAUCACUUAUAAUCCACACCCAGAUGGCAGUUUUUUUUUUUUGGCUGUGCUGCACACCUAGUGGGAUCUUAGUUCCCUGGCCAGGACUUGAACCCGGGCCCUUGAGACUGAAAGUGCUGAGUCUUAACCACUCAACCGCCAGGGAAUUUCCCAUGACUUCUUUUUCAUUAAAAAAAAUUUCUUUUUGGCCA
This is a long non-coding RNA of Dama dama (fallow deer), 1005 nucleotides long. RefSeq lists it as uncharacterized. The record is from RefSeq and is a predicted model, not a curated record. NCBI's taxonomy places the organism in Eukaryota, Metazoa, Chordata, Mammalia, Artiodactyla, Cervidae. The transcript is spliced from 2 exons.